Molecule: ribosomal RNA, 457 nt
Filed under: uncultured Actinomycetales bacterium
Lineage: Bacteria; Bacillati; Actinomycetota; Actinomycetes; Actinomycetales
Description: partial 16S ribosomal RNA
Source: RNAcentral
GACUACAGGGGUAUCUAAGCCUGUUCGCUCCCCACGCUUUCGCUCCUCAGCGUCAGUAAUGGCCCAGAGACCCGCCUUCGCCACCGGUGUUCCUCCUGAUAUCUGCGCAUUCCACCGCUACACCAGGAAUUCCAGUCUCCCCUACCACACUCAAGCCUGCCCGUACCCACCGCACUACCACAGUUAAGCUGCGGAAUUUCACGGCAGACGCGACAAGCCACCUACAAGCCCUUUACGCCCAAUAAAUCCGGACAACGCUCGCUCCCUACGUAUUACCGCGGCUGCUGGCACGUAGUUAGCCGGAGCUUCUUUACCUCAUACCCUCAACAACACCAAAAUGCUGCCUUGGUCAAAAGCGAAAAAGGUUUACAACCCGAAGGCCUUCAUCCCUCACGCGGCGUCGCUGCAUCAGACUUUCGUCCAUUGUGCAAUAUUCCCCACUGCAGCCUCCCGUAGG